This 565-nucleotide ribosomal RNA is filed under the name uncultured bacterium. RNAcentral describes it as "bacterial SSU rRNA". It matches the Rfam family "Bacterial small subunit ribosomal RNA", at positions 916 to 1481 of the family's 1533-position model. The record is from RNAcentral.
GGGACCCGCACAAGCGGUGGAUGAUGUGGUUUAAUUCGAUGCAACGCGAAAAACCUUACCCACCUUUGACAUGUACGGAAUUCGCCAGAGAUGGCUUAGUGCUCGAAAGAGAACCGUAACACAGGUGCUGCAUGGCUGUCGUCAGCUCGUGUCGUGAGAUGUUGGGUUAAGUCCCGCAACGAGCGCAGCCCUUGUCAUUAGUUGCUACAUUUAGUUGGGCACUCUAAUGAGACUGCCGGUGACAAACCGGAGGAAGGUGGGGAUGACGUCAAGUCCUCAUGGCCCUUAUAGGUGGGGCUACACACGUCAUACAAUGGCUGGUACAAGGGGUUGCCAACCCGCGAGGGGGAGCUAAUCCCAUAAAGCCAUUCGUAGUCCGGAUCGCAGUCUGCAACUCGACUGCGUGAAGUCGGAAUCGCUAGUAAUCGUGGAUCAGAAUGUCACGGUGAAUACGUUCCCGGGUCUUGUACACACCGCCCGUCACACCAUGGGAGCGGGUUCUGCCAGAAGUAGUUAGCUUAACCGUAAGGAGGGCGAUUACCACGGCAGGGUUCGUGACUGGGGU